This 497-nucleotide ribosomal RNA is filed under the name uncultured bacterium. Its description in RNAcentral is "partial 16S ribosomal RNA". It matches the Rfam family "Bacterial small subunit ribosomal RNA", at positions 28 to 507 of the family's 1533-position model. The record is from RNAcentral.
GAUGAACGCUGGCGGCGUGCCUAAUACAUGCAAGUCGAGCGAACGGACGAGAAGCUUGCUUCUCUGAUGUUAGCGGCGGACGGGUGAGUAACACGUGGAUAACCUCCCUAUAAGACUGGGAUAACUUCGGGAGACCGGAGCUUAUACCGUAUAAUAUUUUGAACCGCAUGGUUGAAAAGUGAAAGACGGUCUUGCUGGCACUAAUAGAUGGAUCCGCGCUUCAUUAGCUAGUUGGUAAGGUAACGGGCUACCAAGGGGACGAUGCAUAGCCGACCUGAGAGGGUGAUCGGCCGCCCGGGAACUUGGCCACGCUCCAGGCUCCUGCGGGAGGCAGCAGUAGGCAAUCUUCCGCAGUGGGCGAAAACAUGACGGAGCGGCGCGGCGUGAGUGAUAGCGGUGUUAGGAUCGUAAAGCUGUGUUAUUAGUGAUAAACAUAUGUGUAAGUAGCUGAGCACAUCUUGACGGUAACUAGUCAGAAAGCCCCGGCUAACUACGUG